RNAcentral lists this ribosomal RNA (216 nucleotides) under uncultured Lactobacillus sp. Its description in RNAcentral is "partial 16S ribosomal RNA". It matches the Rfam family "Bacterial small subunit ribosomal RNA", at positions 146 to 355 of the family's 1533-position model. The record is from RNAcentral. Lineage: Bacteria; Bacillati; Bacillota; Bacilli; Lactobacillales; Lactobacillaceae.
ACACCUGGAAACAGAUGCUAAUACCGGAUAACAACAGAUGAUGCCUAUCAACUGUUUAAAAGAUGGUUCUGCUAUCACUCUUGGAUGGACCUGCGGUGCAUUAGCUAGUUGGUAGGGUAACGGCCUACCAAGGCGAUGAUGCAUAGCCGAGUUGAGAGACUGAUCGGCCACAUUGGGACUGAGACACGGCCCAAACUCCUACGGGAGGCAGCAGUU